GACAGAGGGUGCAAACGUUGUUCGGAAUUACUGGGCGUAAAGCGCGUGUAGGCGGCUAAGUAAGUCGGGCGUGAAAUCCCACGGCUCAACCGUGGAAGUGCACUCGAAACUGCAUAGCUAGAGUCCUGGAGAGGAAGGUGGAAUGCUUGGUGUAGAGGUGAAAUUCGUAGAUAUCAAGCGGAACACCGGUGGCGAAGGCGGCCUUCUGGACAGUGACUGACGCUGAGACGGCGAAAGCGUGGGGAGCAAACA
Molecule: ribosomal RNA, 252 nt
Filed under: uncultured bacterium
Lineage: Bacteria
Description: partial 16S ribosomal RNA
Rfam family: Bacterial small subunit ribosomal RNA
Source: RNAcentral